UACGAAGGGGGCUAGCGUUGCUCGGAAUCACUGGGCGUAAAGGGUGCGUAGGCGGGUUUUUAAGUCAGGGGUGAAAUCCUGGAGCUCAACUCCAGAACUGCCUUUGAUACUGAAGAUCUUGAGUCCGGGAGAGGUGAGUGGAACUGCGAGUGUAGAGGUGAAAUUCGUAGAUAUUCGCAAGAACACCAGUGGCGAAGGCGGCUCACUGGCCCGGUACUGACGCUGAGGAGCGAAAGCGUGGGUAGCAAACGGG
This 253-nucleotide ribosomal RNA is filed under the name uncultured bacterium. Its description in RNAcentral is "partial 16S ribosomal RNA". It matches the Rfam family "Bacterial small subunit ribosomal RNA", at positions 524 to 776 of the family's 1533-position model. The record is from RNAcentral.